RNAcentral lists this ribosomal RNA (492 nucleotides) under uncultured bacterium. RNAcentral's name for it is "partial 16S ribosomal RNA". It matches the Rfam family "Bacterial small subunit ribosomal RNA", at positions 29 to 507 of the family's 1533-position model. The record is from RNAcentral.
AGUGAACGCUGGCGGUAGGCCUAACACAUGCAAGUCGAACGGCAGCACAGUAAGAGCUUGCUCUUACGGGUGGCGAGUGGCGGACGGGUGAGGAAUACAUCGGAAUCUACUUUUUCGUGGGGGAUAACGUAGGGAAACUUACGCUAAUACCGCAUACGACCUACGGGUGAAAGCAGUGGAUCUUCGGACCUUGCGCGAUUGAAUGAGCCGAUGUCGGAUUAGCUAGUUGGCGGGGUAAAGGCCCACCAAGGCGACGCUCCGUAGCUGGUCUGAGAGGAUGAUCAGCCACACUGGAACUGAGACACGGUCCAGACUCCUACGGGAGGCAGCAGUGGGGAAUAUUGGACAAUGGGCGCAAGCCUGAUCCAGCCAUACCGCGUGGGUGAAGAAGGCCUUCGGGUUGUAAAGCCCUUUUGUUGGGAAAGAAAAGCAGCAGGUUAAUACCCCGCUGUUCUGACGGUACCCAAAGAAUAAGCACCGGCUAACUUCGUG